GAUGAACGCUGGCGGCGUGCUUAAUACAUGCAAGUCGAACGGACAGGCGCUGCUUUUGUGGGGUGCUCGUGUGGCGAACGGGUGAGUAUCACGUGUGUAAACUCUCCUUGUCUUUGGGAUAACUCUUGGGAACUGGGGCUAAUACCCGAUAGAAUCUCUUGCUCCAUGGUGGGCGUUGGAAAGUUACGGCGGUUCUGGCUGUUAUCGAGGCUUCUGCGCUUGUUUGUGGGGUAGGUGCUUACCAAGGCUUUGACGGGUACCCGGCCUGAGAGGGUGGCCAGCGACAUUGGGACUGAGAUACGGACCAGAAUGCAACGGGAGGCAGCAGUGGGGAGUAUUGCACAGUGGGCGGAAGCGUGAUGCAGCAGCGCUGCGUGCGGGAUGACGGGCUUCGGGUUGUAAACCGCUUUCGCCUGUGACGAAGCGUGAGUGACGGUAAUGGGUAAAGAAGCACCGGCUAACUACGUG
This 468-nucleotide ribosomal RNA is filed under the name uncultured bacterium. RNAcentral's name for it is "partial 16S ribosomal RNA". It matches the Rfam family "Bacterial small subunit ribosomal RNA", at positions 28 to 507 of the family's 1533-position model. The record is from RNAcentral.